Molecule: ribosomal RNA, 477 nt
Filed under: uncultured bacterium
Lineage: Bacteria
Description: partial 16S ribosomal RNA
Rfam family: Bacterial small subunit ribosomal RNA
Source: RNAcentral
AUUGAACGCUGGCGGCAUGCCUUACACAUGCAAGUCGAACGGUAACAGGUUAAGCUGACGAGUGGCGAACGGGUGAGUAAUGUAUCGGAACGUGCCCAGUCGUGGGGGAUAACUGCUCGAAAGAGCAGCUAAUACCGCAUACGACCUGAGGGUGAAAGCGGGGGAACGCAAGACGUCGCGCGAUUGGAGCGGCCGAUAUCAGAUUAGGUAGUUGGUGAGGUAAAGGCUCACCAAGCCGACGAUCUGUAGCUGGUCUGUGAGGACGACCAGCCACACUGGGGCUGAGACGCGGCCCAGACUCCUGCGGGAGGCAGCAGUGGGGAAUUUUGGACAGUGGGCGCAAGCCUGAUCCAGCCAUGCCGCGUGCGAGAAGAAGGCCUUCGGGUUGUAAACCGCUUUUGUCAGGGAAGAAAAGGUUCUGGCUAAUACCUGGGGCUCGUGACGGUACCUGAAGAAUAAGCACCGGCUAACUACGUG